UGUCCAGGGAUGGGAAUCGAACCCACAGUGUUCCGCUUACCGGGCAGAUGCCAUGUCUACUAGGCUUCCCAUCUCUGGAC
Molecule: transfer RNA, 80 nt
Filed under: Cordylochernes scorpioides
Lineage: Eukaryota; Metazoa; Arthropoda; Arachnida; Pseudoscorpiones; Chernetidae
Description: tRNA-Thr
Source: RNAcentral